This 484-nucleotide ribosomal RNA is filed under the name uncultured bacterium. RNAcentral describes it as "partial 16S ribosomal RNA". It matches the Rfam family "Bacterial small subunit ribosomal RNA", at positions 30 to 507 of the family's 1533-position model. The record is from RNAcentral.
AUUGAACGCUGGCGGCAUGCCUAACACAUGCAAGUCGAGCGGAUGCAGGGGGUUCGCUCCUGGAUUCAGUGGCGGACGGGUGAGUAAUGCCUAGGAAUCUGCCCGGUAGUGGGGGAUAACGUCCGGAAAGGGGCGCUAAUACCGCAUACGACCUGAGGGUGAAAGUGGGGGAUCUUCAGACCUCGCGCUAUUAGAUGAGCCUAGGUCGGAUUAGCUAGUUGGUGGGGUAAAGGCCUACCAAGGCGACGAUCCGUAACUGGUCUGAGAGGAUGACCAGCCACACUGGGACUGAGACACGGUCCAGACUCCUACGGGAGGCAGCAGUGGGGAAUAUUGGACAAUGGGCGAAAGCCUGAUCCAGCCAUGCCGCGUGUGUGAAGAAGGUCUUCGGAUUGUAAAACCCUUUUAGUUGGGAAGAAAAGCAGUUGGUUAAUACCUUGCUGUUUUGACGGUACCAACAGAAUAAGCACCGGCUAACCUCGUG